GAUGAACGCUGGCGGCGUGCCUAAUACAUGCAAGUCGAGCGAACAGACGAGGAGCUUACUCCUCUGACGUUAGCGGCGGACGGGUGAGUAACACGUGGAUAACCUACCUAUAAGACUGGGAUAACUUCGGGAAACCGGAGCUAAUACCGGAUAACAUGUUGAACCGCAUGGUUCAACAGUGAAAGACGGUCUUGCUGUCACUUAUAGAUGGAUCCGCGUCGCAUUAGCUAGUUGGUAAGGUAACGGCUUACCAAGGCAACGAUGCGUAGCCGACCUGAGAGGGGGAUCGGCCACACUGGAACUGAGACACGGUCCAGACUCCUACGGGAGGCCGCAGUAGGGAAUGUUCCGCAAUGGGCGGAAGCCUGACGGAGCAAGGCCGCGUGAGUGAAGAAGGUCUUCGGAUCGUAAAACUCUGUUAUUAGGGAAGAACAAAUGUGUAAGUAACUAUGCCCGUCUUGACGGUACCUAAUCAGAAAGCCACGGCUAACUACGUG
RNAcentral lists this ribosomal RNA (497 nucleotides) under uncultured bacterium. RNAcentral describes it as "partial 16S ribosomal RNA". It matches the Rfam family "Bacterial small subunit ribosomal RNA", at positions 28 to 507 of the family's 1533-position model. The record is from RNAcentral.